This 923-nucleotide ribosomal RNA is filed under the name uncultured Bacteroidota bacterium. RNAcentral's name for it is "bacterial SSU rRNA". It matches the Rfam family "Bacterial small subunit ribosomal RNA", at positions 1 to 915 of the family's 1533-position model. Lineage: Bacteria; Pseudomonadati; Bacteroidota. The record is from RNAcentral.
GGAUCCAGACUUUGAUCCUGGCUCACGAUGAACGCUAGCUACAGGCUUAACACAUGCAAGUCGAGGGGAAACGACAUCGAAAGCUUGCUUUUGAUGGGCGUCGACCGGCGCACGGGUGAGUAACGCGUAUCCAACCUGCCCAUCACUUGGGGAUAACCUUGCGAAAGUAAGACUAAUACCCAAUGACGUCCAUAGAAGACAUCUGAAAUGGAUUAAAGAUUUAUCGGUGAUGGAUGGGGAUGCGUCUGAUUAGCUUGUUGGCGGGGUAACGGCCCACCAAGGCGACGAUCAGUAGGGGUUCUGAGAGGAAGGUCCCCCACAUUGGAACUGAGACACGGUCCAAACUCCUACGGGAGGCAGCAGUGAGGAAUAUUGGUCAAUGGGCGAGAGCCUGAACCAGCCAAGUAGCGUGCAGGAUGACGGCCCUAUGGGUUGUAAACUGCUUUUAUAAGGGAAUAAAGUGAGUCUCGUGAGACUUUUUGCAUGUACCUUAUGAAUAAGGACCGGCUAAUUCCGUGCCAGCAGCCGCGGUAAUACGGAAGGUCCGGGCGUUAUCCGGAUUUAUUGGGUUUAAAGGGAGCGUAGGCCGGAGAUUAAGCGUGUUGUGAAAUGUAGACGCUCAACGUCUGCACUGCAGCGCGAACUGGUUUCCUUGAGUACGCACAAAGUGGGCGGAAUUCGUGGUGUAGCGGUGAAAUGCUUAGAUAUCACGAAGAACUCCGAUUGCGAAGGCAGCUCACUGGAGCGCAACUGACGCUGAAGCUCGAAAGUGCGGGUAUCGAACAGGAUUAGAUACCCUGGUAGUCCGCACGGUAAACGAUGGAUGCCCGCUGUUGGUCUGAAUAGGUCAGCGGCCAAGCGAAAGCAUUAAGCAUCCCACCUGGGGAGUACGCCGGCAACGGUGCAACUCAAAGGAAUUGACG